GCGUGGGAAUCUACCUUUUGCUACGGAAUAGCCCCGGGAAACUGGAAUUAAUACCGUAUGUGCCCUUUGACGGUGGACGUUGGAGGGGAAAGAUUUAUCGGCAAAGGAUGAGCCCGCGUUGGAUUAGCUAGUUGGUGGGGUAAAGGCCUACCAAGGCGACGAUCCAUAGCUGGUCUGAGAGGAUGAUCAGCCACAUUGGGACUGGGACACGGCCCAAACUCCUACGGGAGGCAGCAGUGGGGAAUAUUGGACAAUGGGCGCAAGCCUGAUCCAGCCAUGCCGCGUGUGUGAUGAAGGCCU
This 300-nucleotide ribosomal RNA is filed under the name uncultured Hyphomicrobiales bacterium. RNAcentral describes it as "bacterial SSU rRNA". It matches the Rfam family "Bacterial small subunit ribosomal RNA", at positions 115 to 417 of the family's 1533-position model. Lineage: Bacteria; Pseudomonadati; Pseudomonadota; Alphaproteobacteria; Hyphomicrobiales. The record is from RNAcentral.